GACGAACGCUGGCGGUGUGCUUAACACAUGCAAGUCGAACGGAAAGGCCCUGCUUUUGUGGGGUGCUCGAGUGGCGAACGGGUGAGUAACACGUGAGUAACCUGCCCUUGACUUUGGGAUAACUUCAGGAAACUGGGGCUAAUACCGGAUAGGAGCUCCUGCUGCAUGGUGGGGGUUGGAAAGUUUCGGCGGUUGGGGAUGGACUCGCGGCUUAUCAGCUUGUUGGUGGGGUAGUGGCUUACCAAGGCUUUGACGGGUAGCCGGCCUGCGAGGGUGACCGGCCACAUUGGGACUGAGAUACGGCCCAGACUCCUACGGGAGGCAGCAGUGGGGAAUAUUGCACAAUGGGCGGAAGCCUGAUGCAGCAACGCCGCGUGCGGGAUGACGGCCUUCGGGUUGUAAACCGCUUUCGCCUGUGACGAAGCGUGAGUGACGGUAAUGGGUAAAGAAGCACCGGCUAACUACGUG
This 468-nucleotide ribosomal RNA is filed under the name uncultured bacterium. RNAcentral describes it as "partial 16S ribosomal RNA". It matches the Rfam family "Bacterial small subunit ribosomal RNA", at positions 28 to 507 of the family's 1533-position model. The record is from RNAcentral.